GUCUCAAAGAUUAAGCCAUGCAUGUCUAAGAAUAAGCAAUCUAUACGGUGAAACUGCGAAUGGCUCAUUAAAUCAGUUAUCGUUUAUUUGAUAGUACCUUACUACUUGGAUAACCGUGGUAAUUCUAGAGCUAAUACACGCUAAAAACCCCGACUUCGGAAGGGGUGUAUUUAUUAGAUAAAAAACCAAUGC
Molecule: ribosomal RNA, 192 nt
Filed under: endophyte RAa3
Lineage: Eukaryota; Fungi; Ascomycota
Description: partial small subunit ribosomal RNA
Rfam family: Eukaryotic small subunit ribosomal RNA
Source: RNAcentral